Molecule: ribosomal RNA, 497 nt
Filed under: uncultured bacterium
Lineage: Bacteria
Description: partial 16S ribosomal RNA
Rfam family: Bacterial small subunit ribosomal RNA
Source: RNAcentral
GAUGAACGCUGGCGGCGUGCCUAAUACAUGCAAGUCGAGCGAACAGACGAGGAGCUUGCUCCUCUGACGUUAGCGGCGGACGGGUGAGUAACACGUGGAUAACCUACCUAUAAGACUGGGAUAACUUCGGGAAACCGGAGCUAAUACCGGAUAAUAUAUUGAACCGCAUGGUUCAAUAGUGAAAGACGGUUUUGCUGUCACUUAUAGAUGGAUCCGCGCCGCAUUAGCUAGUUGGUAAGGUAACGGCUUACCAAGGCGACGAUGCGUAGCCGACCUGAGAGGGUGAGCGGCCACACUGGAACUGAAACACGGUCCAGACUACUACGGGAGGCAGCAGUAGGGAAUCUUCCGCAAUGGGCGGAAGCCUGGCGGAGCAACGCCGCGUGAGUGAUGAAGGUCUUCGGAUCGUAAAACUCUGUUAUUAGGGAAGAACAAAUGUGUAAGUAACUAUGCACGUCUUGACGGUACCUAAUCAGAAAGCCACGGCUAACUACGUG